Long non-coding RNA from Pipistrellus kuhlii (Kuhl's pipistrelle), 551 nucleotides. RefSeq lists it as uncharacterized. The record is from RefSeq and is a predicted model, not a curated record. The transcript is spliced from 2 exons. Lineage: Eukaryota; Metazoa; Chordata; Mammalia; Chiroptera; Vespertilionidae.
GGCCUGAGCCAGACCGUACAGGGAGGCCCGCUGGCCUCCGGGCUGGACAGAGCCGGGCCUUCCUCUGUGACUCAGUUUCCUCAUCCACAAAGUGGGCAGUGGAGCUGAAAGACACCCCCUCGGAGCACCUGGGAGACGGGGUGACUCGCAGCUGCUCGGGGAGGCUUCCGGGGAGGCCUCCGCCCCGUCCCCCGGAGAAAGUGAAGAAACUCCCUCUGAUCUCAGCUGCCCUCUCUCCCCGGGAGCACGAUUUCAAAGGCUUUCUCCACGGAGCGAGAGCAGACCUCAAUCAUCUUUGUGCACAAAACACCCGCCCCGGCUAUUUGUCUCCGUCCGGAGCGCCUGGCGCGGGGCCGAGGGGCGCGCUGGGGAGCGGUGCUUAGGAAGAAUGCUGUCAUUCCGAGGGGCUCCCCGUCCGCCCCCCGCCCCGCCCCUGCGCUCUGCCCCGGGGUCUUGGCAGCCCGGGGUAACCACAAGACAAGUUUUAUCAUCUGUUAAACCUGUCGUUUGGGGGGAAAAAAUGACUUCAAUAAAAUAUUUCAACAAUUAUA